This 467-nucleotide ribosomal RNA is filed under the name uncultured bacterium. RNAcentral's name for it is "partial 16S ribosomal RNA". It matches the Rfam family "Bacterial small subunit ribosomal RNA", at positions 28 to 506 of the family's 1533-position model. The record is from RNAcentral.
GACGAACGCUGGCGGCGUGCUUAACACAUGCAAGUCGAACGGAAAGGCCCUGCUUUUGUGGGGUGCUCGAGUGGCGAACGGGUGAGUAACACGUGAGUAACCUGCCCUUGACUUUGGGAUAACUUCAGGAAACUGGGGCUAAUACCGGAUAGGAGCUCCUGCUGCAUGGUGGGGGUUGGAAAGUUUCGGCGGUUGGGGAUGGACUCGCGGCUUAUCAGCUUGUUGGUGGGGUAGUGGCUUACCAAGGCUUUGACGGGUAGCCGGCCUGAGAGGGUGACCGGCCCAUUUGGGAAUUGGAUACGGCCCAGACCCCUACGGGGGGCAGGAGUGGGGAAUUUUGAACCAGGGGGGGAAGCCUGAUCCAGCACCGCCGGGGGGGGGGUGGCGGCCUUGGGGUUGGAAACCGCUUUCCCCUGUGACGAAGGGGGAGUGGCGGUAAUGGGUAAAGGAGCACCGGCUAACUACGU